This is a long non-coding RNA of Macrobrachium nipponense, 3226 nucleotides long. RefSeq lists it as uncharacterized. Lineage: Eukaryota; Metazoa; Arthropoda; Malacostraca; Decapoda; Palaemonidae. The record is from RefSeq and is a predicted model, not a curated record. The transcript is spliced from 5 exons.
UAUAGGAAGUAGGGACUUGGAACGCCAUUUCUUUGUGGUUUCAUACGGAGAACGUAUGUUUAUAUUUAUAUGGCUAAAAAAAAUUUGUUUCAUCGUUCAUGAUGAGUACAUUAUUCUUCCUCUGAGAGUUGUCUAGCCAUUGCUGUCUGCCUUGAGUAAUCGUCUUUGGUAAUUUGAGUAAUUAUUACGAGUCCUAUUUUUGUGGUUUAAGGUUUCGCUACUGGCUAUUACAAGGUAUCAGGCCUACCGGUAGACAAGAGCAUAGCUCAGAGCCUAAUGAAUUCCUGUCAAAAUUACCAUUAUUUAAAGACUAGAUUGGUUUUGGCUGCGAAAUUUAAGCAUUUUUAAGUUACUGCUUUUCGUGUAAUGGUACUUCAAGAUAAAAAUUAUAAUGGUACUGCAAGAUUAAGUUGUUUCCAUGUACUGACAAGGGCCAUUAGGUUGAACUCUGAUAUUUAAGUUGAGCCACCUCAAUUUUUUUCCUGAUAGUUUCACUGAAUUCCUGUAGUAGACAUAUCCUGAGAUAGUGGAGUGUAGGUGCUUAAAGGAACCUCUUAUAGAUUAUUUUUUUCUAUACACUUUGAAACAGUGGGCUACUUUGCGUACUUUAACAGGUUCCAGUCUAGAAUAAAUGGACGAUACUUUGUCCAUUUAAUUUGCACACUAAUGAUUAUUCAGAAAAGCUCAUAUGUAUUCAAAAGUUUUAAGGUGCGUAGUGCGUAUAUACAUGAAGAAGGCGACUUUGUCGGUUUGGACAGAUCUUGAUUUACGCGACUUGGGUGGGGUAGGGGUUGAGAUUGCGCCUAGUUUUAUGUGGGUGACGGAAGUGUAUUUGUGUUACACAAAUAUUUCGUGUAGUUGUGUCAAGACACUUUGGCAGUGCCUUAUAUAAGUGGGCCGGGAAUGUGUAAGGCCCUGUCCACAAGGACGAGCUUUGCUCGUUGUGACGUUGUUAGCACAGAUACAGCGGAAAAAAAGUUCUGACUUUCCAAGUUCCUGACGUCACUUCGAGUUCAAAAGCAGUUAGUCGAGCUAAGUUCCACCGUGUGGACGGUGCUUAACCUUACAACAUUACAGUGCUAUAUAGCCUAAUUGUCAGAAGCCGACACUGCAAAAACAAGUAAUGUAUUGGUGUAAGAAUAUCCCAUCAUGCCAGUCACGUCUCCAGUGAUGUUUUAGGGUAGUGCAGUCAAGGUCUGUGUCGAGAACUCGAAAACUGUACGAAGUUAAGAAGUUUGCCAAAGCAACGCUCAUGAUCCCCUUGGUGGAAGCCGCAGCAGACACACACACACACACACACUGGCAUGUUGUUCAAGGCCUGUGAAGAUGAUCCAUAGGGAACUGUCAAGAAACUUGCUGAAGACAGUAUUCUCAAUGCAAGGGAAGCUGAGGAGAGACAAGAGAAUCGUCAGAGAUAAGAGAGGCAAGAGAAUCAGUCAAGAGAAGAAAAUCCGUCAGACGAGAAUCCGUCAGAGAUAAGAGAGGCUGGAUUCCGUCAGACAAGAGAAUCCGUUAGAGACAAGAAAAUAGUCAGUUAAGAGGCAAGAGAAUCCGUCAGACAAGAGAAUCCGUUAGAGACAAGAAAAUAGUCAGAUAAGAGGCAAGAGAAUCCGUCAGAGAUAAGAGAGGCUGAGGCUGGAUUCCGUCAGACAAGAGAAUCCGUGAGAGAAGACAAUCGUCAUAAAUCCGAGAGGCAAGAUAAAUAAUCAUUAGUCAAAGAAUUGUCUGAACAAAAAAAUCUGAGUAGCCGGUAAUCCAGGGCAGUAUAGUAAGCCUCUGGACCAUUCCCUUUCUUUGGCCACUCAAGAUCUCUACUCCUGGUGUAUAUAGAGUUAACUGAGAAACUGUAUUAUUGUAAAUACAUCAACAUCAAGAAUAAAAGUAUUUAAACGAUUUUCCAUUUUCCUACCUUCAAGCUAAAGAGGAAAUAAAAAUUAUUUUUCGACCAUCGACCACUAAAAUUUAUUUCGCCAGGUUGACAAUUUAACUAACUUAAAUAUGAUCAAUACACCUUGGAAUAAGAGCCAAAAUAAUUAUAAAGGUCCCUAUCUUAUCAGUGCUUCAAGAGGAGCCCAUGCCAGCACAAGGCCGGCUUUAUCUUAAAUAACGGGAAAACAAUCUUAAUAGACCGAACGCCUGGAACUUAGCAAAAUAUAAAGUCCGUUUUUUCAGGCGUUCUGUCUAUUGGGUGAGUUUCCCUUGUGCUGGGAUGGGCUCUCUUGCUUCUGAAGAUGGAGCCAACCUUGUGCUGGCAUGGGCGCUAUGUAUAACUUGCUACGUCCCUGCUACGGCUAACCGGAUAAUUAUUACCUUCCCAUUUCCAGUGAACACUUCAGUCCAUUCUCGGUCCACUAUGCAAGGUAAAGUGUCAGAUCAUCUGUACAGUCCUCCUGUAGAAAAAAAAAUGCUGUCAGUGCUUGUGCUAAUAACCAGUACGCAAAUACUACUCUUUCUGCUACAACACCCAAGAUGAUAAGAUUUCGGUGAUCAAUUCUUUGUGGAGGGACAUUGAGAACCUCAAUCAAAAAAUGUAUAGCUGCCAUACCAAGCACAAUUUAAGCAAAAGGAAGGACACAAGGUUGGCACUUCCUUAUUAAAGUCCAAUAGAAGUAGUCAAGACGAUCAGACUAUAAAAAUACUACCUAAAAGCACAACAAAGCCAUUUUGAAAAAGCACUCAACAUUCCAUAACCCACUUAUAGAUAUUGCUUCACCUAAUUAAGUACAGUUAAAUAAAAAAAAAAAAAAUUUUUUUUUGCUAAUCCUACAGCAAUAUGUGACACUUUCAGCGUAACUGCGUUAAACAAGGCUGAACAUUGACAGCUUAAGUUGCAAAAUAGAUUGGCACCUUAAAUUAACUGACGCUUUGGGUGUCUGGCUUUCUGAUGCAUAAGGACCCUGGGCCUAUACUGUCACCUGUACUUUAAACAUGUUCCAAGAUAUCCUACAGCUAACAGCAAUUCCACAUAGUUUCCAACCAUAAACUAACUUGUAAUACGCAUUUAUUCAGUAUGAGAGAUUAAAAUGAAUCUCACCUAGGAUGUGAAAAAACUUAGUAAAUAUUUUUAAGAUAGUAAAAGCACUCAGUCAAGAUUUUAUCUAACGUUUUUAAGACCCACUGAAACUACAUGUCAGGUAUUUCAUUAGUACUAAAAGUCAACCAUUAACUAAUAAAACACAUGAUGAUGAUCACGUGAUACUGACAACUUUUCACCAUUGAAGUUACA